Molecule: long non-coding RNA, 943 nt
Organism: Megalobrama amblycephala (Wuchang bream)
Lineage: Eukaryota; Metazoa; Chordata; Actinopteri; Cypriniformes; Xenocyprididae
Exons: 7
Source: RefSeq, a predicted model, not a curated record
GUAUUUUCAAACUGCGGCUGGCUUGACCGCAGUGCCAGCUUGCGGUAGGCCUAUAACUUCUUUUUUUUUUUUUUUUUUUUUUACCAUGGGACUACCCUCUGAUCCUUUUCACAAAUAGAGCAAUGAAAGUGAAACUGGACUUUCACUCUGCCAGAGACAGCGAGCAGGAACAGGUAACUAAACAACACUCAGAUAACCAGUACAAAAGACAGAGAAAGAAAGAAAAGCCAAAAAUGACGCUGGAAAAUGAAAGUAUUGAAGGAAAAUUCUUUAUAAUUGACACUGGAAAGACAAGUUCUGUUUCACGGAACCAGAUUUUACAUCGUCUCUGUCAACAAAGGCCUGGUUUGAAGGAGGUGCACACUGUAAGAGAGUGUGAUGUGAUUUUGGUCUUCUGCACCAUUUCUUCACGGGUCGGAACUGACAUUGAUGCUGCAUUGAAGAUCUUAAUAACUGUUCAGCAUCCAAACCAGCUAUUUUUAUGGUGCUUCAUCACACAUUUGAGCCAGAGAAGAUGAUACCAGACAGCAGCAGAUGUGUGACCAGGAUGAAUACACUCACUGUGGACUGUCUGUUCAAUGAAGAUCAGGGUUUGUUGAACUGCAUCAGGAAUGAUGAGGCGCUGAACAAAAUUGCUCAACCGUUUAAGCUUCAGAAACAAUGUAAAUGGAAUAUGAAGGUUACCGUUGCCGUUACCGUCACCAUCACCAUCACCAUCGUUAUCUUGAUUGCCACUGGUCUUUCUCUGGGGUACAGAUUGAAAGAUUAAGAUGAAGAAAGAGAUGCUUAAUAAGUUUAAGAGCUGAUAAGAUGGCAUGGAACACAAACAAAUGAAGAGAAAGAUCCAUUUAAUCAGUAACCGUGGAUUUUUGAAAUGACAGGAGCAAUUGCUACUCAUUAUCAUAAUGUAAUUAACAACAUUAAAGUAUAAUAAGCUCUAAAA